UGGCACAGGAAAAUACUKAAGCAAACASCAAAUGAGGCUUGUACUGAACGCAYUGCUGGAGUUGACCCACCAAGCUGGGUCCUAUUCCUUCAGUGGAAAAAUUCCCUUGAGCCACAACACAAGGAUAUUUCCCAACUCUUAGCUAAGGCAAUAAAUCUUGGACCAUGAUGGCAAACCUAAAGAGGUCACUGAGUAAUGCAAACAGAAAUCACCUUUAGGAGCCAUCAGUGUGAAAAGAUCUCACCAGAGGAAGCUGCAGCCUUUUUCUGUGGCUCAUUUUUYGCUCUGAUGUCAAAGCAAACCUGCUGAUCUCCUGGGCUCUGAGGAUUGCUGAGCAACGUGCCCUCCUCACUGUCCAAGUUCCCCACAGACCAGUCAUCACCUCGCCUACUCCGAAACAUCUGCUUCUCCCACCUCUCUGAUAGUGAUACAAAUGACAAUUUUUCAAUCUUCCAGCAAUUAUCUCAGCCCCUUUUCUCAUGUUACCGUUUCAGUGCAGCAGGAGCUCCCUGGGAACAGCCACCGUGCCACUAAAUCUGUCCUCAUGACACUUUACUAUCUGCAGAUGGUGUGAGAUUGACUUUGCUUUCCAAAGUGAGAAUUUAAUCCUCAGUAAAUUGUUUUGAUUGCAUCUGUGAAAUACAUCCAUUAUCCUGUUAUGAAGGAUAGAGUGUAGAUUUAUAUAUUGCCUGACUUUAUGGCCUAAAUUCACARCUGGACGUUAACAAAAUUACUCCUUCAAAGUGCAUUGAUACCAAGGGAAAGAUUCCCAUGAGCAUCAAAUGAGGUGAAUAGAUUCUUGAUAAGAGUCAUGAUUUAAAUUAGCACGAAUUUUUAUGUAUAUGAAUUUAGGUUGACUGAGUUUGUGCAUUACACUUUUGCCACUGCAAAUCCAAGGAACAGCUCUUUUUUUCACAAAGUGGUCAUUGUAUCUUCAAAAUCUUGUGGACUGCAAGACUGGAACCUGCAAUCACAUGUUUAGAGUCUACUAAGUCAGAUAGAAAGUUUUGCAGCCUCUGUUUGCAUUGCAUUUUGAAAAGGGCAUGAUUAAUUCAGGCCAGGACUACAAUGAAUGUUGGUAACAUCGUAGCUGGAAAUACAUGAAUUAUUCCAAACCUCCUGAACUCUAUUAUUCAGAAUAUCUCCAACUAGUGAAUGUAAACAAGCUAACAGGCUGCUUUCCCCUCUCUCUCACCAUGAGUGAAAUGCCAGCAUAAUGCAGGAAUACCAGUGUAGCAGCAGAUACCAACAGGCCCAGCUGCAGCUCUGUAUUUAGAUUUGCCAGGUAGCAAGGUGGCAGAUUUAAUUCUAUCACCAACACUGAGGUUUCUAGAAUAAAUGCAAGGAAAUUCAACAAYAGAUACAUGAGACCAAGCUACUGUUAAAAUGCUAUUUCUGUGUUGUUUUCCAAUUCAGAAAGUUAGGAGUCCUUUAAAGGGAUUUAAGUCACUAUGCAUGAAAUGGGGAGAGCAAAGGAAGCCUCUGUCAUAACAUGCAGCUGAUGUAGGUCAUUAGCACCUAUGGACAUGUAAAUGUCAACAGGUUAUCAAAUUACAGAUCUAAAUUCUGCCUGAGGGUAGUGUUUUAGCAACAGAAUUAUACUAGUCCAAAGUAAAUCUAUCCAUAUAUAAAUUUUUUUUGACACUGUGAAUGCUUUUCUAAAACAAACACUUUACAAAGCCWAUUUUGCUUUGUACACAGAAGUUUUCCAUUGUAGGACAAAGACAGCACAGAGCCUGAGAACCCCCUUUGAGCAUUGCUGUCCUUACCUGGGAUUUGCAGAGCUGUCUGUAAUAAUACUUUACAAAUAAGUUCUAUGACAUGAGCUUUCAGAAUUCACAUAGGGGAUGUUCACCCAGUAACUCCAAAACACUUUGUCRUCAUGACUUGGAGUAUUUUACAAGGCAGAAACUAAUGGAAAGAAAACUCAAGACCUGUAUCUAUAGAUGUAGCGAGUUGAUAAGUGAAUUUAGAGAAAGCCCCAUCUCCCAAUUUAGGGCUGUUUCACAAGCUCCCUGUGAAGAGAGGAAAAAUAAAUUUUUGUGUUUCUGCACUGAGUAAACUUUUUUUCUUUGAAUAGCUUGAAAGUCCCCUUAGGGAAAAGCUGGCAAAAAUACAAACACUGAUGUGGUCACUACCUAUUGCACUCAAAUAAAUGCUAUUCCUGUUCAGUAAAUUAGCACAUUUAUGAGUUAUAUACUUUGUCAGCACUUUUUCUUAGCGUGCGUAGACCAGAUUUCCACUACAUCAUUCAGAGGUUAGCAGGGAACAAAAUUAAACCCUCAGUGUUUUCACCACCACACAACCUGCAAAGUCAUUUUUCAAUGCACUUAACAGGUUAUCUUGGAAAAGUCUAAUAAAUGGUGAGCAUUGCCUCUGACUUUUUCUUAGCAGAACUCAUUGUUCAUCUAAUUUUUGCAACAGAUUUCCUACCUCAUUUAAAACUUCAGCUAGAAGUGCUUUCCUGUUACAUAUUGCAAACAGACAUAUACAGUGACUCAGAAGCUUGGAUCGAGCUGUGYAGUCAAUAUAGUUUUUGGCAAAAGCCUGGGAAGCCUUUUUCUGGCUGAAAGUGAAGAAUGAUAAAAAUAGAUCCUGAUUUUACAGUCACAGUGACAAACUSGCUUCCAAAAGCUUCACAACAGCACAAAGGGAACAAACUGGCAAAAGGGAAGUGAGCUGGAAAGAUAUAUAUUUUUCCCCAACAAGACUCAAAUUCACCAUCUUUUGUGGUUUACAAUGAUCUUAUAUCAUYGCACAUGGCAUGUGCAGCACAAUGACAACUCAGAAGUCAGCUUAGCUUGCAAGCAGCCAUUCUCUUCCAAAGCUUUUCUGUGAGCUCAACACAUUUAAUUCACAAUCACUUACAGAGCUUAUACAACCCUAUAAAAUAACCAAGUCUCCUGAAUCAUCUCUUACCUACAAGAUAUAAUUUUAUUCUAUUUUGUAUGAUUUCAUUAUCUUAUUUUUGUCACUUGAUCUCAUUUUUCUUGGGGUUCUAAAGGAUUUAACAACGAAUGAUAAGAAUGAGAUUAUCAGCACAAAAAUAGACAAUAAUUAAAUGUCAGUCAUGUCGAUGACAGAACAAAUGCAAUUCUGUAUCUCACUACUUUUGGUGCUGGCUAGUGCAAUACUCAUUAAAU
This is a long non-coding RNA of Malurus melanocephalus (red-backed fairy wren), 3143 nucleotides long. RefSeq lists it as uncharacterized. The record is from RefSeq and is a predicted model, not a curated record. The transcript has 3 exons. NCBI's taxonomy places the organism in Eukaryota, Metazoa, Chordata, Aves, Passeriformes, Maluridae.